UUUCUUUAAUCAAUUUCUAGGGAGGAACACCAACAGGAAAUAGCAGACAGUUAGCUCCAGAUACGUAUCCAGUACAACAACCAGCAUCUGCUAGACCUCUUUCACCACCUGUUCCUGCAUCGACACCUCUCAUAGAUGAGAAGCAAGAAGAGAAGAUAGCACCAAAAGACACUCAACCAUUGUGAACACAUUUUUUUUCUUUCUUUUUUUUACUUGUUUAAUCUCUCAGUAUUGAACGUGACUUUCUUCGAUCCAGGUGUUCAACAGUAUGGUGGGUGUGUAUGUAUGUUAACAGUGUAUGCACAAACGUUUCAUUUGUCCUGUUUUAAAAUACAUGAAUUCAAUGGUACUUGGGUAAAGCAAAGAUGUUUUAUUUGUACAGUACAAUGAUUCCAUCUUCAGAAUUAGCUACGUUGUUGCAUCACACUCGUUUGUUUUAAUAUAAUUAAUGGUCUUUAAUUUAAAAUGGGGCUAUCUACAGCAGUCAUCAUGAUGAUAGCAAAUUAAAAUAUGGUAUGGGAAUCAUUUUGAGAUAAACCGUACAACAAUGGAAUUAUGAUAUUGAUUCGGUGCUAACAGUUAGAAUCAGAAAAGUCAUAAGUCUGAUAAUAAAAAAAAAAUGCUAGUUGAUUUUGUAGUAGUAGUAGUCAUUAGAUACAUGUUGUGUAAAGCAAGGUUUUUCUACCAUUCAGUAUAGGUUCAUGACUGAUGGCAAAUGUAGAAACAGUAAAUGUACUUGUGGAUUUAAAAUCUUCAUCUCAGAGGUUUAAAAUUGUUUAUUAAUAAGUGAAUUUGUUAUUCUUUGAAGUGUUUCAAAAUAUAAUCCAGCUACUAGUUUUCUUAAAAGUGAUGCUUGUCAGGUGUAGUCCUGACUGUAUUAACCUUUAAGUAAUCUCAGAAUUUGUUCAUGAUCGUUGAAGUCUUACAAAAUGAAAGCAAAAAAAACAUUUUCAGUCAAUAUUAAAGUUCAACUAUCUAACAUUAAGUUAGGUUUAAAUGAGGAAAACAAACUGUCGAACUUAGCCUCAAAUCUCUCUGUUCGAAGCAUAUUAGACAUUAAGUGUAUAUGGUCUCGUGGAAGAGUCGUUACUUUAUUAGAUGUGUAUUAAUUUCUUCCUGUAUGUUGCCUUAUGUAAAAUAUUUGGGCAACAUGUGGCGUAGUGCUGAGCUGUCCAUGCUUCAUGUUCCAUUACUGCCAGAAAAAGGGAUAAAGUUACACUUCACAUUUUGGGGCCAUGGGUGUAAUAAUAUAAGAUAAAUGAUCAGAUCUUACUUCUUAAAUUGUAGCCCAAGAGUUGGCAGUGGGUGCUGUUAACUAGCUGUCUUUUUUCCCAUCUAUCAGUGUAAAAAUUAGUGAUGGCCAACGCAGAUAACUCUUGUGUAGCUUUGCGUGCGUGUUGCUUUGUGCGAGACCGCUUUGUGGUUUGAUGGCUUUACGGAGUAAGUGCUUUGUGAAUAUUUGAUAAUUUAGUGUCCCUAGUUUGACUUUAGUUCACAUUUUGCUUAAACAAAUAACUAUAUAUUUGUAAAGGUCGAUAGAAUAUAUUUCACUGUGUUCUUCACUGACAAUAUUUACCGUUUCUUGUGUUAUGAUUCUGGAAUGAUACAUCCAAUGACAGAGGCAGCUUUUGCAAAUUUGGCUAGGAUAUAUUUCACGUGUCUCUUUUAAAUCCCAAUAAGUAUUGUUUUUUGUGGCAGAAUGUGGAUGUUUAUUAUUAUUAUUAUUAAAAAUAUAAUAAUAUCAGAAAUUGAACAUGGACUUUUUCAGCACUUAAAGUCAUCUGUUGAGUUGUACCAUUUAGCUCUAAACAACAGCAGCAUUUUUCUUAACUCUUUUUCUGUGAAACCAAGAUAGAAUUUGUUUAGAAGUUGAACACAGUAUUCCAUGCUCACAGAAAGUUAACAUUAACCUAAUAAACACCAUUGUUUCAUGCAUGUUGCCCUUAAAACCAGUUGUUUGUAACAAGUGUGUUAUUAGUUAAGUUUUGUUCGUGUAUGGAUUCAUGUUGAGAAAGUUGAUUGCACAUUAAUUACAUCUAAGAAUUUUGUGUACUCGCAGAGUUCUACCAUAUAUACUAGAGAGCCAACUGUAAGCAUGCCGAUAUACAGACCAAUCGUGGACGCUGUUGUCUCGCAACUUGUGUCAAUAAUGUGUCACGUAACACAGUGAUAGAGUAGUGUAUAGGUAAUGGUUGUAAUGAGUAUGAAUGUUGAAAUAACUUGUAAAAUACUUUGGACAGGAAAGGCCUAAAACUGUAGUUUUAAUAUCAUUCAUAACUUUGGUUGUAACAACAGACAUAAUGAAAAUACAUAGUACAAGCUGUCAUUUUUACAUGAUAAUUCUAUUUGUGUAAUAUUAAGAGCCUGAAUUAUAAUUCUUGAAGAAAGACUGAUCUAAGAAGGAAAUAAAAUAAGGUUACCAGUUUAAGUACUUUACAAGUUCUUUCAAAACGUACAUUCAUAACACAACUAUUAUUGUUAUGAUAAAUGCCAUCACAUGCAUAAUAUAGUUGUAUACACAUAUUUUACCAAACAACAGUACGGUGAUCAUCUGUUCUUGAUUACAUUCACACCAUAUGAUCAUGGUUAGUUCUAUAGUUGUAAGUACUGUGAAUGUACCAUGUUAGGCUUAAACAAUUGCUGUUAGGCUUAACUAACGUGCAAGUUUUAAAUCAUUAAAUACUGUAAUACUAAUUGUACGAUCAUUGUUCAGUGAUCUCCUUAACAUAUUUUGUUUAUUAGAUUCAGGGUUCCUAGAAUGUUCAAAAUAAUUUGAAUUUUUUUUUUUUUAAGUCGGUAACUAUCGUAAAACACAAUUGUAAAUAUUCUUCGCGUUCGUCCUUGGAGAGUGCCAUGUUUGUUUAAGUCUGAAACGGAAAGAGCAUGGUAUUCUAAAUAUUGAUUCCUGACAUUUAGUACAUGUUGUACAUAGCGUAGUGAAAGAAGUCAAUCAUUAUUAAUGAUUUAUUAUGAUUAACACCAAAGCUUUGAAGUAUUGCCCUAACUAAAAUAUUAAUCUAUAUAGUCUCUAAGUGUGCUAUUGUCAUAAAAUAGGUAGUUUUGUCGUUAGAAGCUUAUUGUUUAUCAGGUAUUAUAGGUGGAUUAUCUAGCAAUAUUUUAUACAUAUAUACCCUCUUGAAAUAUUUGGUUAGCUUCUAUGUUCUCUGUACGUCUUCUUGUGUAUACUUGUUCGUGCUUCCAGCCUACAAACGUUUUAGAAAAGAAACCGGAAUGAAAGUAGUUAUAAAGUGUGACUUUUGUAGUGUUUACCUUUACAGAAUGUUUUUUUAGUUGAAGGGUUAGAAACGGUGCCAGUUAGUAGCAUAUUUUCAAUUUUUUAAAACAAACCUGGAAAUAUACUGUUAAUAUCGGCAUAAAAAAAAUGGCUUUUGUUUUAUAAUCCAAGUUGGAGAGAUAAAAACUAUUGUUUUAUAAUCCAGGUUGGAGAGAAGAUAAAAACUAUUGUUUUAUAAUCCAGGUUGGAGUUAUUUUUUUGCUAAUGUCUAAAUAAUCUUUUGAAAAGUGAAUUUUUUUAAAAAUAAACAAAUUCGAUUAUCAGUUCACUGUUUUUGAAGGAGGACAGAUGAUGUGUGUAUAAAUACCAUAUACAUUGUGUCUGUGUAUAUUUGAUAAAGUCAUCCAAUUGGAUGUAUGAACAUUGUAAAUCUUUCGGAGCUGAAAAUGUUUAUAAUAUUCAGUUACUUGUGUGACCUGGUUAAUUAUGUUUAUCAUGGUUAAAUGAUUAAACAAUAAUCAUAGUUAAGAUAUGAGAUUAAAGAUAUACAUAUGGUUUAAAGAUGACAUUAAUUAAGAUAUGAGAUUAAAGAUAUACGUAUGGUUUAAAGAUGACAUUAAUUAAGAUAUGAGAUUAAAGAUAUACAUAUGGUUUAAAGAUGACAUUAAUUAAGAUAUGAGAUUAAAGAUAUACGUAUGGUUUAAAGAUGACAUUAAUUAAGAUAUGAGAUUAAAGAUAUACGUAUGGUUUAAAGAUGACAUUAAUUAAGAUAUGAGAUUAAAGAUAUACGUAUGGUUUAAAGAUGACAUUAAUUGCACACUUAAAUAAGCUUUUGGUUGAGAUUUGUUAAAAGGUAUUCAUUAUAAAGUUUCUUCAUUGUCACCACUCCUCCAGACCAAAGUAAGAAUUAUCUUCCUCUGUAAAAUGUCACUCACUGGAUCUUGAUUUGUAUUAAGAACCAGUAACGAAGGUAAGUAGCAUGAAACCAGAAAUGUUCUUCUGAAUCUUCUAACGUGUUUUGAACUUUCAUGGCUAUUUAUGUAAGUAUUUAAUCUUAUCUCAAAAUAUUUCUGUUCGGAUAAAUGAAACCAUAUAGAUAUUAGCUUGUAAUUUUCUUUAUAAAGUGUUAAUUCGAAAAUAGUGGAGCUUUUUUUAUCAUAGGUGGCUCUGCAUUACAUGUAACUAAGAUUCUUUUGGUGUUGCACCAUUCCUAUGAAUAUUUUGUUUUUAUUUGUGAAGAAGUCAAAACUGAGACUGAAUGAUACGAAUAUUAAGCCGAUUGGCUGCUGCUGCGCCCCCCAGUGGCACAGCGGCAUUUCUGCGGACUUGUAACGCUACAAACAAUCAAACAAAUUGGCUUUUGCGACUCAAACUGUAGAUUGUUUUAGUUUUCACCGAAGUGCUUAUUAAAGGUAGUCAUCUUUAGAGAAAUUGGUGACUGGUACUUACUGGUUUCUAAAGACACCAUAAGUAGCAUAAUAUAACUUCUUUCAGAGCUUUUUGGCCCAUAACUUUAUUUAAAAUAAUAUUUUUUUUUAUAAGUGUUUGCUAUGUUACCAGUUUUUACCGACAGAGAGAGAAGAAAACCAUUCUUUUUUUAAAAGAUCUAGACAUGCAUAAUAAUAGUUUGAAGAUACUGUUCUUAUGAGACUUUUUUUUUAUCACUGCUGGAAUAUUUAUUUUCUUUUUUCGUGGUUUUUGCUAUAACUUGCCAAGAUUUUCACCAUAGUGUCUUCAGCUUCCAUCAUUUCUGACACAAUUUUAUACAGGAGAAAUUGUCUGUCACGUGAUAGGCACACUGUAUUUGUUUUUCUGGUACACGUGACUGUUUUAAUAAGUGUUUUAUUUUGUAAGAACUACGUAAAGAGAUUGGACGUUAAAUAAACUGUCUUUUUGUUUGAAUUGAAA
This is a long non-coding RNA of Limulus polyphemus (Atlantic horseshoe crab), 5143 nucleotides long. RefSeq lists it as uncharacterized. NCBI's taxonomy places the organism in Eukaryota, Metazoa, Arthropoda, Merostomata, Xiphosura, Limulidae. The record is from RefSeq and is a predicted model, not a curated record. The transcript is spliced from 2 exons.